UGACUGAUGCGGGGAUGGAAUUUUGUUUC
RNAcentral lists this non-coding RNA (29 nucleotides) under Homo sapiens (human). Lineage: Eukaryota; Metazoa; Chordata; Mammalia; Primates; Hominidae. The record is from RNAcentral.